AUCCAGCUGACGAGUCUCGAGUAAGACAAAACGAGCGUCCUGGAU
Molecule: non-coding RNA, 45 nt
Filed under: Schistosoma haematobium
Lineage: Eukaryota; Metazoa; Platyhelminthes; Trematoda; Strigeidida; Schistosomatidae
Source: RNAcentral